This 646-nucleotide ribosomal RNA is filed under the name Rhizopus arrhizus. RNAcentral's name for it is "Rhizopus oryzae partial large subunit ribosomal RNA". It matches the Rfam family "Eukaryotic large subunit ribosomal RNA", at positions 88 to 666 of the family's 3401-position model. Lineage: Eukaryota; Fungi; Mucoromycota; Mucoromycetes; Mucorales; Rhizopodaceae. The record is from RNAcentral.
GGCGAGUGAGAGGAAGAGCUCAAAGUUGGAACCUGUUUGGCCUAGCUAAACCGGAUUGUAGACUGUAGAAGUGUUUUCCAGGCAAGCCGAGUAAAUAAGUCCUUUGGAACAGGGCAUCAUAGAGGGUGAGAAUCCCGUCUUUGGCUUGAGCAUUUGCCUUUUGUGAUACGCUUUCAAAGAGUCAGGUUGUUUGGGAAUGCAGCCUAAAUUGGGUGGUAAAUCUCACCUAAAGCUAAAUAUUGGCGAGAAACCGAUAGCGAACAAGUACCGUGAGGGAAAGAUGAAAAGAACUUUGAAAAGAGAGUUAAACAGUAUGUGAAAUUGUUAAAAGGGAACCGUUUGGAGCCAGACUGGCUUGUCUGUAAUCAAUCUAGGCUUCGGCCUGGAUGCACUUGCAGGCUAUGCCUGCCAACGACAAUUUGACUUGAGGGAAAAAACUAGGGGAAAUGUGGCCCACUUGUGGGUGUUAUAGUCCCUUAGAAAAUACCUUGGGUUGGAUUGAGGAACGCAGCGAAUGCUUAUUGGCGAGUUUUCCAGGAAGGUUUUCUGAGGUACUACGGUAUCAAGGUUGAUCUUUUUGGUUAUACUUCUAUUCGCUUAGGUUGUUGGCUUAAUGACUCUAAAUGACCCGUCUUGAAACACGGAC